UCGGCAUCUACGGAUAUAAGAGCAACGUGAGUCUCAACAUGGGCAACACAUAACGCUUCCUCCAUUAGGAGGAAGAGAAGGUCGUCAUGGCAAACUGGAACUGAAAAAAGGAUGAAUGUCUUUGGAUUGUGGUUUUAUGCUAUCAAGCAGCACUUAAAAUAUUUCAUGUUGGGGACACAGUCAUGCUGCAUGCCAGAGGAGACAGGCUGAGUGGAAAUUAAACGAGGCGAGGCCUGGAGUAGAGGGCUCAGCAGCGACGGAGCAGUCAAAAACAUGACGUCACUUCACUCCAUCGCCCACAACCAUUUCAGUGCUUUUCUGAAUCGUUAUUAGUAUCCCUAUGCCUAUAUUAUUCUUAUACUGAGUUCUUUGAUACUAAAUCCUCAUUUUAUCCAGACAAUAACAUGAUUGGGGACUGAUGAAAUGGAGUCAGGCUCGUUUAAACUGUAACUUAAUGUUACUUUUAAUCCUUCCCUGUAUAAUAACAAAAAAAAAAUAUUUUGGCCUUUCAGGUCUUGCAGAGAGCAAAAGAACUGGAUUGCAAAGAACUGGAUUGGUUAUAAUGCAAGCAAUGUAUAGAGCAAUUAUACAAAAAAAGAAAUGUACUAUGUAAAAUGUAUUGGGUUCCCAAUAUAUUUACCAAACAAGCAUGGUGUGCCAGGUAACACAACUCUCCCAACUUAAGAAUGACACUGACUAAUUUGAUCAGGCCAAAAAAGACAAAAGAGAAUUAAGAGAUGCAGCUUGCAAAACACACUCAAACCUCCUCCAGAUUCACUUCCCAAUAGUGAAGCCAAUCUGGAAGGGUUUACCAAUGUUUUCUCAAUUAGCAUUUUUAAAAUUAUAUCAGAUUAGUAAACAGAAUGUGCCUUUGGAUCAUUGGAUGAAUGGUUGGCUGCUGAUAAUGGGCAAUGUAGAUAUUGCAUUAAAGAUCAGCCAUUUCUUUCUACAACAAUCGAGAACCCUUUUGCAAUUAUGUAAACACAUAAUGUAACCUGAAAACUGCUGCUCUGAUUAAAAGAACAAUGCAACUGA
This is a long non-coding RNA of Alosa sapidissima (American shad), 1035 nucleotides long. RefSeq lists it as uncharacterized. The record is from RefSeq and is a predicted model, not a curated record. Lineage: Eukaryota; Metazoa; Chordata; Actinopteri; Clupeiformes; Clupeidae. The transcript has 2 exons.